CCUGACACUGUACCCAAAAAGGGAGAAUGAUGGACAUGUUUUUAGCCUACUUUUGUUGGAAAAUUAUACUUGAGUCUUCCUCAACCAGAGCAUGGUUGCGUUCCUUGACAAGGACAGAACUGUGCCUUACCAGCCCACGGACGGCUGCAUUGGGGAUGAGGGCACCGGGAUGGCUACCAACCUACACCCUGCAGAUUGCUCUUGCACGGAUACCUGCAAUAUCAAGCCAACUGCACCACUGCCGGUGAAUGAGGGUUUUACCAAAGCUCAGACACACUUCCUCAUCCACCUGAUGAAGGUCCACCUUGAGGUAGAGGGCGGGAUACCUGUAAAGUCCCUCGAUGACCUCAACAGGCGGCUGAGGCUGGGCAAGAAGCCAAAGAAGCUGCUGUGGGAGGAGAUGACUGGGAAGCUUGCCGGACAGUUCAAGGAGGACUUCCAGACCGACAAGGUGGCGCGCAAGUGGUUGACGCUGGUGGAGAGAUAUGAGAAAGUCAAGCAGAAGAACGUGUUGAAAGAAAAGAGGCCUUUCCGCUUCCAAUUCUACAGGGAGAUGGACGAGCUGCUUGGGGGAGACAAUGACGUGGAGCCACCCGGUGUGAAGAGCGAUUGUGCUGGAGUGGUGACAGGCAUACCCGGUGCACUGAGGCAGUCCAACGGUGCUCCCUCACCAGCGUUAUCAGACGGGGCUCCCUCAGCUGGGCCUUCCAGCACCACAGUGUUGCCACCUCCGGGUCGAGCCCCCACCGUACCCUCUGACACCCUGAGGUUGCGGAACCGGAAGAGGAUGAAUGACCUGAGGGACAUGACGGAGGAUUACCUCUUGGCCUAUCUUGAGAGGUCAGAUGCUGCUGCCACGGCUGCUUCCCAGAGGCGGCACGAAGACACCCUGAGCGAGAUGAGGGCGCUGAGGGAGGAUCAGAGGGAGCUCCUCCAGUUGUUCAGCAGGAUGGUGGACAAGAUGUGA
RNAcentral lists this long non-coding RNA (967 nucleotides) under Gadus morhua (Atlantic cod). Its description in RNAcentral is "lncRNA (ENSGMOG00000025473.1)". Lineage: Eukaryota; Metazoa; Chordata; Actinopteri; Gadiformes; Gadidae. The record is from RNAcentral.